RNAcentral lists this ribosomal RNA (248 nucleotides) under Trypanosoma copemani. Its description in RNAcentral is "partial small subunit ribosomal RNA". It matches the Rfam family "Eukaryotic small subunit ribosomal RNA", at positions 392 to 631 of the family's 1831-position model. The record is from RNAcentral. Lineage: Eukaryota; Euglenozoa; Kinetoplastea; Trypanosomatida; Trypanosomatidae.
UAGCCUGAGAAAUAGCUACCACUUCUACGGAGGGCAGCAGGCGCGCAAAUUGCCCAAUGUCAAAAAAAAACGAUGAGGCAGCGAAAAGAAAUAGAGCCGGCAGUGCCAAUGGCAUUGCCGUUUUCAAUGGGGGAUAUCUAAACCCAUCCAAAAUCGAGUAUCAAUUGGAGGACAAGUCUGGUGCCAGCACCCGCGGUAAUUCCAGCUCCAAAAGCGUAUAUUAAUGCUGUUGCUGUUAAAGGGUUCGA